RNAcentral lists this ribosomal RNA (453 nucleotides) under uncultured bacterium. RNAcentral describes it as "bacterial SSU rRNA". It matches the Rfam family "Bacterial small subunit ribosomal RNA", at positions 335 to 799 of the family's 1533-position model. The record is from RNAcentral.
ACUCCUACGGGAGGCAGCAGUGGGGAAUAUUGCACAAUGGGCGCAAGCCUGAUGCAGCAACGCCGUGUGAGUGAAGUAAGGUUUUCGGAUACGUAAAACUCUGUCCUAAGGGAAGAAACAAUGACGGUACCUUAGGAGGAACGCCCCGGCUAACUACGUGCCAGCAGCCGCGGUAAUACGUAGGGGGCAAGCGUUAUCCGGAAUCACUGGGCGUAAAGGGUGCGUAGGCGGCUUAGCAAGCCAGGGGUGAAAGGCAUUGGCUCAACCAAUGUAAGCCUUUGGAACUGUUAAGCUUGAGUGCAGGAGAGGUAAGUGGAAUUCCUAGUGUAGAGGUGAAAUUCGUAGAUAUUAGGAGGAACACCAGUGGCGAAGGCGACUUUCUGGACUGUAACUGACGCUGAGGCACGAAAGCGUGGGGGAGCGAACAGGAUUAGAUACCCUGGUAGCACAGAG